This 253-nucleotide ribosomal RNA is filed under the name uncultured bacterium. Its description in RNAcentral is "partial 16S ribosomal RNA". It matches the Rfam family "Bacterial small subunit ribosomal RNA", at positions 524 to 776 of the family's 1533-position model. The record is from RNAcentral.
GACGUAGGGCGCGAGCGUUGUCCGGAUUUAUUGGGCGUAAAGAGCUCGUAGGCGGCUUGUUGCGUCAGCUGUGAAAACCCACAGCUCAACUGUGGGCUUGCGGUCGAUACGGGCAGGCUAGAGUUCGGUAGGGGAGACUGGAAUUCCUGGUGUAGCGGUGAAAUGCGCAGAUAUCAGGAGGAACACCGGUGGCGAAGGCGGGUCUCUGGGCCGAUACUGACGCUGAGGAGCGAAAGCGUGGGGAGCGAACAGG